UGUAAGUUUAAAUGUGCAUUAAAGUUCUUAUUAAAAUCGAGGAACAGAAUUUUAGAGAUAUAAUUGUAAGAAAGAUAAGUAGGUAUACGGAAAUACGAUUAGUAUUUUCUUCCUGUGGAUAUAUCCCUCCCUCUACUGAUCUAAACUCUGGUAUAAAAGGCAGUUCUGAUAAAGUUAAUUAAUUGUUUUGACUAACGUCUUAUGUAACAAUGUUUACAAUUCGGUUAAUAAAUCCUGUGAUUUUUAUUAUAACAUAUAAUACGAUCAACGUAAAAGAAUGUAAUUUGGAAAACAUUCCGUCUCGACUACAUCUUGACAAAGUCGUACAAGAAACUAUAUGUGUAAGAGAGAAGAAAGAUACUUUAGGAGUACAGUAUGAUUCUUACUUCAAAUCCUUGAAAAAGCAGACAUGUUAUCCUAAAGACUGUAAAGAAGUUCAACUAAGUGGUAACCAUGUAACAGGAAUCUACGAAAUCUAUCCAGAACACGCAGAAGCACACUUUCCAGUACUGUGUGAUAUGGAAACUAGGGGAGGGGGUUGGACUCUUAUCCAGAAAAGGUUUGAUGGAUCACAGGACUUCUUUCUUGGAUGGCGGGACUACAAAUUUGGUUUUGGCAGUUUGGAAGGCGAAUUCUGGUUGGGAUUGCAGAAAAUAUAUUUAUUGACAGGUUUCGAAACAACCGAACUUCUUGUAGAAAUAGUAGCCAGAGACAAGACGUCUGGUUACGCCCAUUACAGUUCUUUUGCAAUAGGACCCGAACCCGGAGGAUACAAGCUAGAACGUCUGUCAGGAUAUAGCGGAGAUAUAGGAGACUGCUUGGCUUAUCAUCGUGGAUCAAAAUUCAGUACAAAAGAUUUAGACUUUACCAACAAAAGCUGCGCUACAACAUAUCAUGGUGGUUGGUGGUAUUAUGAAUGUCUUUGGAGCAAUCUCAAUGGAAGGUAUAUAAAUAUUGACCUACCUUUAAAAUAUAAGCAUCAAGGGCUUCAGUGGGAUACAUUCAAGGAAAAUGGGAAUAGUCAUUCGAAAUCUAGGAUGUUAAUUAGGUCCAUAAAUUAAAGCAUAUUUAAUCAUAUCUUAAACAUAACUAAACUCGAUACAUUUUUAUAUAAAAGAUAAUAUUUUCAAAAUGUUCCCUGCUUUUAUAUUAUAUCGUUUUAUAAACCUUAUUGUAAAGGGUUCUCUGCUUGUCAAAAUUUACUUAAUUAUUACUAAAAUAAGGCAAAGUCAGUUAAGACAUAUUUAACUAUCUUUAUAUGUUGUUGUAAAUGAUAUUUUCAAUGUAAAAGAUGGUUGUUCUAUAGCACGUUUUCUUAAAUUAAGAAUACAUUAUACGAAUAAUGUCUACAUGAGUUGAUAAAUUAAUUAUAUAUUACGAAAAACAGAAAAUUUAUUAUUAAAAUAUAUUCCUGAUGAUCUUUUGGUUUGAAAUUUGGACAAAAAAACUGUACAGUUUCCUUAAAUAGAAAAAGCGGCUGUUGAAUCGAAUGUAAAUGCAAUUGAAGUGCAGCGGAGGACGAGUGAGCUAAAAUUGAUGGAGCAUAUUGCCACGAAGACACCCCGCCAUGAAUUUUUCAGGGACCUUCGAUCACAUGGGAAAUUCCGGAUUGCGGCUUGAUAAAAGGCUCUGCUAGCUAUUAUUUGUCUGUGCACAGAUGUAAACUGAAUAAAAAAGUUAUAAAUGAAUUAUCCCGUAGGCAAUUGACUACGGAAAACUGAUGAAAACAAUUAUUUAGUACCUUUACCACCUUGUAGAGAGGGGAAACAAUAAAAACAACAUAAAAUAGACCAUAAUUAAUUCAGUAUCACUCAUACUGUUACCCAACAAUAGACGAAGUUAUGUUGAAGUGUAAUUAGAUUUGGGUUGCAUAUAAUUAAAAAUAUCAUAAACGCCAUCUUAUUACUAUUUGUGCACAUAUGUAUAAUUAAAAACAUCAUAACUGUAUCUUAUUUAUUACUCUUUGUUUGCGUAAAAUGAGAAGAUGUUUGGAGAACCUUAUUAUUAUUACGUUUCAACGCAAAUACUUUUAUAUAUUACUGCACUUUGUUUUACUUUAAGCUUUAUUUCUAAAAUUUACAGUAUGAACUAUAUGAAAAAUACAGGAAAGUAGUUGACUAUACCAAGGAAAGUGACACAUAUAUUUAUUCAUUUAAAGAAACAUGUGAAAACUCCAGUAACAAAAUUUUAGAAAUAUAAAUGUAACAAAGAUAAGUUUACGGAAAUACGAUUAGUAUUUUUUUCCUGUGGAUAUAUCCCUCUCCCUAAAGGCUCGUACUUCUCUGGUAUAAAAAGGCAGUUCUGAUAAAGUUAAUCUUGUGUUUUCACUAACGACUUAUGUGACAAUGUUUACAAUUCGACUAAUGAACACUGUGGUUUUCAUUAUAACAUAUAAUACGAUCAACAUAAGAGAAUGUAAUUUGGAGAAUAUUUCUUCAGUGCACCGUGACAAAGUCGUACAAGAAACUAUAUGUCUAAGAGAGAAGAAAGUUACUUUAGGAGUACAGUAUGAUUCUUACUUCAAAUCCUUGAAAAAG
This is an RNA transcript of Anoplophora glabripennis (Asian longhorned beetle), 2537 nucleotides long. It is a transcript of the gene named fibrinogen C domain-containing protein 1-like, with no coding region annotated. The record is from RefSeq and is a predicted model, not a curated record. NCBI's taxonomy places the organism in Eukaryota, Metazoa, Arthropoda, Insecta, Coleoptera, Cerambycidae. The transcript has 6 exons.